This 86-nucleotide transfer RNA is filed under the name Synergistetes bacterium ADurb.Bin155. RNAcentral's name for it is "tRNA-Ser". It matches the Rfam family "tRNA". From Rfam's summary of the family: Transfer RNA (tRNA) molecules are approximately 80 nucleotides in length. Their secondary structure includes four short double-helical elements and three loops (D, anti-codon, and T loops). RNAcentral also lists the same sequence under 4 other names. Lineage: Bacteria; Thermotogati; Synergistota. The record is from RNAcentral.
GGGGAAGUGGCGGAACGGUAGACGCGCUGGCUUCAGGAGCCAGUGUCCGUAAGGGUGUGGGGGUUCAAAUCCCCCCUUCCCCACCA